RNAcentral lists this ribosomal RNA (253 nucleotides) under uncultured bacterium. Its description in RNAcentral is "partial 16S ribosomal RNA". It matches the Rfam family "Archaeal small subunit ribosomal RNA", at positions 474 to 727 of the family's 1478-position model. The record is from RNAcentral.
UACCAGCACCCCGAGUGGUCGGGACGUUUAUUGGGCCUAAAGCAUCCGUAGCCGGUUCUACAAGUCUUCCGUUAAAUCCACCUGCUUAACAGAUGGGCUGCGGAAGAUACUAUGGAGCUAGGAGGCGGGAGAGGCAAGCGGUACUCGAUGGGUAGGGGUAAAAUCCGUUGAUCCAUUGAAGACCACCAGUGGCGAAGGCGGCUUGCCGGAACGCGCUCGACGGUGAGGGAUGAAAGCUGGGGGAGCAAACCGG